GACGAGCCACACGAACGUUAUUCGGAAUUACUGGGCUUAAAGGGUGCGUAGGCUGCGCGGUAAGUUGGGUGUGAAAUCCCUCGGCUCAACCGAGGAACUGCGCCCAAAACUACCGUGCUCGAGGAAGAUAGAGGUAAGCGGAACUUACGGUGGAGCGGUGAAAUGCGUUGAUAUCGUAAGGAACACCUGUGGCGAAAGCGGCUUACUGGGUCUUUUCUGACGCUGAUGCACGAAAGCUAGGGGAGCAAACGGG
This 253-nucleotide ribosomal RNA is filed under the name uncultured bacterium. Its description in RNAcentral is "partial 16S ribosomal RNA". It matches the Rfam family "Bacterial small subunit ribosomal RNA", at positions 524 to 776 of the family's 1533-position model. The record is from RNAcentral.